This 821-nucleotide ribosomal RNA is filed under the name Streptomyces omiyaensis. RNAcentral's name for it is "bacterial SSU rRNA". It matches the Rfam family "Bacterial small subunit ribosomal RNA", at positions 71 to 906 of the family's 1533-position model. Lineage: Bacteria; Bacillati; Actinomycetota; Actinomycetes; Kitasatosporales; Streptomycetaceae. The record is from RNAcentral.
UGAAGCCCUUCGGGGUGGAUUAGUGGCGAACGGGUGAGUAACACGUGGGCAAUCUGCCCUUCACUCUGGGACAAGCCCUGGAAACGGGGUCUAAUACCGGAUAACACCGGCUUCCGCAUGGGGGCUGGUUGAAAGCUCCGGCGGUGAAGGAUGAGCCCGCGGCCUAUCAGCUUGUUGGUGGGGUAAUGGCCUACCAAGGCGACGACGGGUAGCCGGCCUGAGAGGGCGACCGGCCACACUGGGACUGAGACACGGCCCAGACUCCUACGGGAGGCAGCAGUGGGGAAUAUUGCACAAUGGGCGAAAGCCUGAUGCAGCGACGCCGCGUGAGGGAUGACGGCCUUCGGGUUGUAAACCUCUUUCAGCAGGGAAGAAGCGAAAGUGACGGUACCUGCAGAAGAAGCGCCGGCUAACUACGUGCCAGCAGCCGCGGUAAUACGUAGGGCGCAAGCGUUGUCCGGAAUUAUUGGGCGUAAAGAGCUCGUAGGCGGCUUGUCACGUCGGGUGUGAAAGCCCGGGGCUUAACCCCGGGUCUGCAUCCGAUACGGGCAGGCUAGAGUGUGGUAGGGGAGAUCGGAAUUCCUGGUGUAGCGGUGAAAUGCGCAGAUAUCAGGAGGAACACCGGUGGCGAAGGCGGAUCUCUGGGCCAUUACUGACGCUGAGGAGCGAAAGCGUGGGGAGCGAACAGGAUUAGAUACCCUGGUAGUCCACGCCGUAAACGUUGGGAACUAGGUGUUGGCGACAUUCCACGUCGUCGGUGCCGCAGCUAACGCAUUAAGUUCCCCGCCUGGGGAGUACGGCCGCAAGGCUAAAACUCAAAG